CUCGAGUGGCGAACGGGUGAGUAACACGUGGGUGAUCUGCCCUGCACUUUGGGAUAAGCCUGGGAAACUGGGUCUAAUACCGGAUAGGAUCACGCGCCUCAUGGUGUGUGGUGGAAAGCUUUUGCGGUGUGGGAUGGGCCCGCGGCCUAUCAGCUUGUUGGUGGGGUAAUGGCCUACCAAGGCGACGACGGGUAGCCGGCCUGAGAGGGUGUCCGGCCACACUGGGACUGAGAUACGGCCCAGACUCCUACGGGAGGCAGCAGUGGGGAAUAUUGCACAAUGGGCGCAAGCCUGAUGCAGCGACGCCGCGUGAGGGAUGACGGCCUUCGGGUUGUAAACCUCUUUCAACUACGACGAAGCGCAAGUGACGGUAGUAGUAGAAGAAGGACCGGCCAACUACGUGCCAGCAGCCGCGGUAAUACGUAGGGUCCGAGCGUUGUCCGGAAUUACUGGGCGUAAAGAGCUCG
Molecule: ribosomal RNA, 467 nt
Filed under: uncultured Mycobacterium sp.
Lineage: Bacteria; Bacillati; Actinomycetota; Actinomycetes; Mycobacteriales; Mycobacteriaceae
Description: bacterial SSU rRNA
Rfam family: Bacterial small subunit ribosomal RNA
Source: RNAcentral